GAUGAACGCUAGCUACAGGCUUAACACAUGCAAGUCGAGGGGAAACGAUAGAGAAAGCUUGCUUUUUCUAGGCGUCGACCGGCGCACGGGUGAGUAACGCGUAUCCAUCCUGCCCAUCACUUGGGGAUAACCUUGCGAAAGUAAGACUAAUACCCAAUGACGUCUCUAGAAGACAUCUGAAAGAGAUUAAAGAGUUAUCGGUGAUGGAUGGGGAUGCGUCUGAUUAGCUUGUUGGCGGGGUAACGGCCCACCAAGGCGACGAUCAGUAGGGGUUCUGGGAGGAAGGUCCCAGACAUUGGAACUGAGACACGGUCCAAACUCCUACGGGAGGCAGCAGUGAGGAAUAUUGGUCAAUGGGCGAGAGCCUGAACCAGCCAAGUAGCGUGCAGGAUGAAGGCCCUAUGGGUUGUAAACUGCUUUUAUAAGGGAAUAAAGUGAGUCUCGUGAGACUUUUUGCAUGUACUUAAUGAAUAAGGACCGGCUAAUUCCAUGCCAGCCGCCGCGGUAA
RNAcentral lists this ribosomal RNA (508 nucleotides) under uncultured bacterium. RNAcentral's name for it is "partial 16S ribosomal RNA". It matches the Rfam family "Bacterial small subunit ribosomal RNA", at positions 28 to 523 of the family's 1533-position model. The record is from RNAcentral.